CCGGGGAUAGUCCUUGAUGGAGGUGUUAGUGCCGGGGAUAGUCCUUGAUGGAGAUGGUGGUGCCGGUGCUAGUCCUUGAUGGAGGUGGUGGUGCUGGGGCUAGUCCUUGAUAGAGGUGGUGGUGCCGGUGCUAGUCCUUGAUGGAGGUGGUGGUGCUAGUCCUUGAUGGAGGUGUUAGUGCCGGGGCUAGUCCUUGAUGGAGGUGGUGGUGCCUGUGCUAGUCCUUGAUGGAGGUGUUAGUGCUGGUGCUAGUCCUUGAUGGAGGUGCCGGUACUAGUCCUUGAUGGAGGUGCCGGUGCUAGU
This is a long non-coding RNA of Oncorhynchus tshawytscha (Chinook salmon), 303 nucleotides long. The record is from Ensembl. NCBI's taxonomy places the organism in Eukaryota, Metazoa, Chordata, Actinopteri, Salmoniformes, Salmonidae.